This 433-nucleotide ribosomal RNA is filed under the name uncultured bacterium. RNAcentral describes it as "partial 16S ribosomal RNA". It matches the Rfam family "Bacterial small subunit ribosomal RNA", at positions 29 to 507 of the family's 1533-position model. The record is from RNAcentral.
AACGAACGCUGGCGGCAUGCCUAACACAUGCAAGUCGAACGAGACCUUCGGGUCUAGUGGCGCACGGGUGCGUAACGCGUGGGAACCUGCCCUUAGAUUCGGAAUAACUCACCGAAAGGGGUGCGAAUACCGGAUAAUGUCUUCGGACCAAAGAUUUAUCGCCUUUGGAGGGGCCGGCGUUGGAUUAGCUAGUUGGUAGGGUAAAGGCCUACCAAGGCGACGAUCCAUAGCUGGUCUGGGAGGAUGAGCAGCCACACUGGGACUGAGACACGGCCCAGACUCCUACGGGAGGCAGCAGUGGGGAAUAUUGGACAAUGGGCGAAAGCCUGAUCCAGCAAUGCCGCGUGAGUGAUGAAGGCCUUAGGGUUGUAAAGCUCUUUUACCCGGGAUGAUAAUGACAGUACCGGGAGAAUAAGCUCCGGCUAACUCCGUG